AAACCGCUAACGGCAUCGAACUGGCCGAUGCUGGAACCCCCGACGGACCCAAGGGCACCGUUGUGUCCUCUGGAUUUUUCUCCUAUACAUCACCCGAGGGCGUUCCAGUCGAAGUGAAAUACGUCGCCAACGAGAACGGAUUCCAGCCUCAGUCUGACCUGCUUCCAGUGGCUCCCGAAUUCCCCCACCCAAUCCCCCAGUUCGUCCUGGACCAGAUUGCCUUCGCUGCUGAGCAGGACAGGCGUGGCAGUUCUUCAAGAUCUUCAGGAGGAUACAACUAAAACACUUCUCUUCGAUGUUAGGAUGUUAACCGAACGAAUCUAUUUAUUACCUUAUCAAAUAAAUGUUUAAUUGAGCGAA
Molecule: long non-coding RNA, 360 nt
Organism: Macrobrachium nipponense
Lineage: Eukaryota; Metazoa; Arthropoda; Malacostraca; Decapoda; Palaemonidae
Exons: 2
Source: RefSeq, a predicted model, not a curated record